UGAUGUUUUCAUUAAUGAUGAAGAUGAUAAUCCAAACGAUUUUGCUAAGUCCGAGUAUGUUGGGAGCUUUGCACAUUUGCCACACAAGGUUAAAGGUGACAUGAAAGUUAAGACUACUCAAACCUUUGAGUUGACUGAGAUUUUGGAGGACUUAGAUGUUGAAGAAGACGAUGCCCUGUUGGUGACUUUGGUGCCAAAGUCCAAAACUGCUCUUACCAUUGAUAGCAUCAAGAUUGAGGUUGCUGCUUGAUUCACCUGCUAGUACUUUUUUUUUUUUUUUUUUAAUCUCCUCCCUGGGAAAAAAUCUGGCAUUAGAUUUCAUCGAUUGCUUUGAUUUUGACCUAUGCAUGCAUGUUUCAGCACCAUGAAUAAAAUACUUCUGGUGUGCUUGUCACCAGUUAAUAAAAAUAUGUUUCAGCACCUAUCUGACAACGUCCCUUUUGGUUUUUCUUUUUGAAAAGUUUAAUUUACAUUAAAGUUUAAGAUCUUAUGACGCCAUCUAUCUAACUUUCUCCACUCAAAAAAAAAAGGAAAAAAAAAGAAAUAGAAAAAGACAAUUCUUCCUCAAUCAAAAUUAAAUUUUUCUGUGCGUAUCCAGAAGGAAAACAAAAAGUAAUCCUCAAGUACCACGUUUGGCAAAGCUUACAAGUGUUAGCUUCCGAUUCGCCAUUUCAAGUAGUCAGAUAGACUAUACAUUUAAUUUACCAAAAUAUAGGAGAGUAUUUUUUUUUUUUUUUUGAAAAAGAAUAUAGGAGAGGUUACAAAAAGUAAGGGAAUUCUACAAUAAUAAUGAUCCUUGCUUUUUGUGUGUUGAGGAAAGAGGUGAUUUCUUAAAUUUGUGCGAUCCCACUUUUCAUUUCAUAUACCACUUUUGAUUUCAUGUGCAACCUUAUUAAUUUGUGAAGACAGAACUUUAUAUUCUCCUACUUUCACAAUCAAUAGUUCAAUACAUAAGAAUAUCUGCAGCACAUGUGAAAGCUUGAUCAACAACAAAGGAAUUGAUUAGUUUCUAGCUCAAGUUGCCUAAUGAUUCAUAGGAAUGAAAGUUAAAAGGGCUUGACCCCGGCUCCUAUUUUUUAAUGUACAUUUACUUUAUAGGAAUAGGGUAAUAAUAUGCCAACCUACCCAAAGUUUCACGACCACGACAUGGAUCUCCCCUUGAAUUCUUGGAAGUGUAAUUUAGUGUUAAGUGUAUAAUAUGAGCUGUUAUACAUUUUUCUUAGAAUUCUAAGGGCGUUCUUGUUAUAGUGAGCAUCCACUUAAACACUAACAUCUUCCUUGUGUGCAACUGCUUCUUGUAAAACGAUCUAAGCAAGUGUCUUUAAAAUUCUUGGUCCGACUCUUAAGUCCUUGUUUUCUUCAUUUUUCCCUUAUAAUGCUUGAAAUUUUCUUUGAACAAUUAAAAGAAAAGUUGAAUAAGGACAGAUAAAGAUUAAUAUAACUUUAUAUAAGUGAAUUCUCUAUUCCUUUCCCCCUCCCUACUUUUGAAGUUCUUGUAGAUUUAUUACCAUUCGAAAUAUUUGACAAACUUGGCUCUCUCACUCUACAUUAAAUAGCUAUCGGUCAAAUUUACCAGGUUCGGAUAUAUUGCAGUCUUGUAGGACAAAGACCGACCAAUAAUUUGAUGUCAUCGGAAAUGCCUGUCGAGAAUUUACAAAGGGAACAUAUCCAGUCUCACAAAUAUAUGAAAUGGGGCAACAUAUAUAUUUGGUGAACCAUAUCCAGUCUCACAAAUUAAUCUUGAGUACAAUAAAUAUGCUGUGCUCCAAGAAUUAGACUAGAGAUGGAUCUUCUGUGGUGUAACCGGGCAAUGACCGACCAACCAGUAGGCUAUGUAUAUUGUUGUUGGAGUAGUUAGAUUCACAUUUGAGCUUUCACAUGCGAUGUUUCCCUCGCUACUACAAAAAUGUCCUUUUAUGACAUUUAAAAGCGUCAUUAUAGCUCAAUGUAAUGACGUUUGAUCUAUAAUGACGCUCUGCUAGAAACGCCGUCCAUUCCAGCGUCACUAUAAGUUUUAUGACAGUCAGAGGAGUCAUAAUUUAUAGUUCUGUUGGCAUUUGUAAACGUCAUUAUUUAUCGUUUUAAUGACACUUUAAAAUGACAAGAAAUCCUUUGGACAGAAUCUCAUACUCAAAAUGUCCCAUUUGUAGAAUAUUUUUUAAAUUCAUCAUAAUUUUAGAAAUUUCUCUGAAAGUCACCAACACACUUUGAUAAUCUUCAAAUGAAUCAUUCUCAUCUUUCGCCUUUCGAAAGGAUAAUUAUUCUUUCCUGCGAGCCCACAUCCGAAUUAGUACUAAUCAGUAUAAACUUGGCAUACCCCUAUAACUAUAAGUAGGCUUGUUGAUCGUUGGGGCCUUUAGCUUUCAAUUGUCUGUACUACUUGGUUGUACUACGAUACUAUACAGACGGAAAACUUAUAAGAAAAUAGACAAUUUGUACUACACAUUUCUCGGCGGCCAUAGGUCAGACAAUUCGUACAUCUUUUUAAUUGUUCAUAAAAUAUUUUAACCUUUUUAAUCUGUUUUUUAAGUGUAUCUAGGUAGAUUGCAUGUGGAAGCAGAGAAGAUAUCAUCUCCUCAGCCGGCAGGACUUUACCUAUGCCUUUUCUUAUCAAUUUCUUCUUUUUUUUUUUUUAAUUUCUCAAAACUCCUUAAAUUUACUACACACCUUUCUAUAGAACAAACCUCAGCUCUAAUAUCCAACUACAAGAUUAAUACUAUUUAUACUCAAACACAAAGAUUAUUACUUAUUAAAAGAACAACAUCAAACUUUAGUUUGAAACUCUGUAAAGAAAUUAUUAAAUCAAGCCUUAUUACGCUUUUAUGCUUUAGUAUUAGUAUAUGUUAAGUUAGUAGAGAGCCAGGUGUCAUUCGUAGAGUAAGUUAUUUUUCAGUUAGUAUGAUGACGACAUGAGAUACAGUCCCUUGUACGUAGUAGUCAGUACAAUAGUUGUCAGGCAGUACGGUAGUUGUAUGUGACAAGUAAGCCGCAUGGGACUACCAUGAGAGUCCCUCUGUUUCGUCUAAAGUGUGCAAUGGCCUAAGAUUCAUGAGAGUAGAAAAGCCGCAGCCUUCAUCUUCAUCGUGAGAAAUAAAAGGUUUUUUUUUUCCCCUUUGUCUCUUAAUCAAUUUCCUGAAGAUUUUCUCGUGGGUUUUUGUUGUCGAGUAAUUUCUUGAAGAUUUUCCUGUGAUGAUGGUUUGGGUCCAUCAAACUCAAAAAUACAGCAAAGAAUCUUGUUUGUUGUUUGAAUUUAAUUAUGAAUUCAUUUAUUUAUUUAUUUUGAGCAAAAGAGGUUUAUGAAUUUAAGAUAUUGAAAAACAAAAGCAUAAAUCCCAGAUUUUAUCCACAUACUACGCUCUAGUAAAAGCCUCGCUAGCAUGCAUAGUUUUUUCGGCUUCAUUGCUAUGGAGGCUCACACUGCUUUUGUUUUCCUCUCCAUUACUCAUCAAUUAUGUAUGCUAUAAAUUAUAAUAGAUGAAGCAAUCAGCAGAAAAUGCAUAUGAUAAAGUAUGUGUGUUUGAACUUAGCAAAGAACAAUAAUUUUAUUUGAUUUGGGGAGAACAAAAAAUUGCUUAUGAGUACUAAACCAGUGGUUUUCUCUUAACCAGGAACUUGUGCAAAGUAGUUUGUUUAGGCACCGAUCCUUUUGUCAAAGAAUACAAGCUUCGUUUUUCCAUGCAUCAGGAACUUUUGUACAUAUUUAUACGUGUUCUUCUUACAUUUUCUGUUUUUUUCCCUUUAAAGCGACUGCCCAGGAACUUGUCAGUUGUCACUGCCUUUUGUCUAUGCAAUUACAUUGAGCACUUGUAAUUGAGAUCAGAAGAGCAAAAUUUAAGUGGAUUAUUUGAGUCACAGUUUUUUUUUUCACUGUGCAAUAGUCUCUGCAAUGUGCAUUAUUUCAGCAGCAGGAGGUCAAAAUCACAGCAUCAGACAAUCCAGGUUCCAUGGACUGAAUUGAGGCCAUAUCAGGUUUACGUCUCUUUAGUAAGACACCCAUUUCUCUCGUAUUUCUUGACAGCGCACUCAAAUACCUGAGCAAAAUUGCAGCCUUCGCGAAGGAUUGAAAUCAAUUGAUCGCUUAGACGCUGAGUUUUGUAUAGGUCUGUCCCAUUUUGCCUUAACCAUUAAGUCAUCUUCACUUCCUCUUUAUCAUGGAUUUUCUGCUGGUCUGAUUCCUAUGCUGGCUCCAUAAACUGUUCCCGCGUUCCGCACUUCCUAAAGCAGGAAAAAAAUGCCUGGUACUGUAACUGAUUUGAAUCGAUUCUCAAAUCCUAAACUAAUGCAAGCGAAAAGUGAAAUAAUUGACAUUGCAGGAAAAAUAAAAUAAAAUAAAAAACAAAGCAUGCUCAGACUGUGAAUAUACUUCUAGAACGAGGGAAAACUGAAGUGUUAGGAUAAUCUGAGACAUUUAUGCCCACAUUUGUAAGGUAGGAAAAACUGCAUAAAUGGCAUUUGCUUAGGAGAAAAGAAAUGUCGAUGCUAAAUUUGGCUUGAUUUAUCAGAUUUCUAUUCAUUUCUUUGUAGAAAUCGAUAAACAAUAGCAGAUUGCGAAUUUCUGACCACCAACAUGGCUGCCCGUGAAUAACGUGGAAGCGUGUUCCACAUGCACCAUCUUUUUCCACAAAGACUUUGCCAUGAGAAAGAUUGAAGGAGACUUGGCAUGGAACUUUAACCUGGAUUGCAGGGCAAAGGGAAUUAUUGUGAUGGUAACAAUACGAAUUUUCAAUUAUUUGGGGGUCAAUAUAUAUAAUUACAGCACCUUUGAACUUGAAGGGUUUCACGGUUUUAUGUAUGUUUCUGCAUGGGAUCUAAAUUCAUUACCUUUCCCCCCCCCCCCUUUCUGGGAACCUUGUACAGAUUAUGGAGGAGAAGAACGUAAAUUUUUGGAUACAUAACUGCUGAUAAUGAACCAUGAAGCCUCGUUCUUGGACUGACUCUGUCAUGUGUGUUGAGGGCUAUCAUCGAUGUCAUAGUCAUUUACCGCAUAAGGACGUACAUGGAGGAAUGGCAUUUACAGCAAAUCCUCCCAGCCGCCCUUGAAAGCUUUCAAUCCGUUCGAGCUGAAACAAAUGAUCUGAGAGAUUUGAUUUGUUUGAAGAAUUAUAAACUGAAAGGAAAGAAAUGAAAAUGAUCCUAUUCCAAUGUGCACAAGGAUCCUCUUAUUUGAGCUUGACAUGCCCCAAAAUUGUAAAAAAUUUUAAAUCAAUGACAGUUUAUCAAGAACACUAAUUGUGGAAAGAAACAAAACUUCUAAUUGUGGAUUAAAUGUCAGAGGUGACAUAAAAGAAAUGUAUUCGUCCUACAGUAAAGGAUCUGUUUGAUCAAAUGACAAAGAUAUCAUCAUCUAAUUAAUAGCAAUUAAGCAUAGCAUGUGAAGUCCAAACAAGGCCAAUCUGGCUUCCUGAAUUCGGAUUGUCGGUAGUUUUGUAGUAUCUAUAGAGAUAAAUAAAAAUGAGAUAAAACGAGACUAGGAGAAAACCUUAAUACGCUACUCGUUCUUGUGGGGGAAAAAUAGUGCUCAGAUGUUAGGGAAGUAAGUUUGCGCACCAACUUUUGUCAGUCCCAACAGGAUUUUACUCAAUACAAUAACAUACGACUCGGUAGUGAAUUUUGGGAAAUUCGGCAAAAUGUUUUGGUAAACUCUAAGACGUACUUAUUAUCACCACAUGUAUAUAUUUUUUGAAAUAUAAGAUUUCUAAAAUGCUGAAUAUCUAAGAUGUAAUUUCUUUUUUUUGUGGUUUCCAAGUAUUAUAUUAUUGUCUUUAUGUAUGCUUUUUCACUGAUGUGAAUGUUCUCUUUGAUGUUAUUUAAGCAAAAUGUUUCUUUUUUUUAGUUCACUGUUCUCGCACGUCUCAUGUGCUGAUUUUAUCUUCCAUUUUAGUUAUUUUUUCAGUUUUUUUUGGUAUUAAUGAUAGGUGAAAUGAUUGAUAUUGCUGUUUUAGUUAGAUGUUAAUGAUCAUUAGUGAUGUUUCAAUUAAAAUACUAAUUUUUAACGAAAGAUGAGACUGACACUGGACCUUUUUGAGUACUUUCAUGAUGUUUCUUUGGAAUGAUUUUGGUGGUGCCCGACAACUUUAUGUGAUUCCUCUGUUUUCCAGUGCAUGAGCUGUGUGAAAACUAAAAGUUUAACAAACGCCAAAACGAUUGAGCUGACAGAAAGUUUUUUUGCGAUUGACCGAAUUAUAAACAGCAUUACAAUUGACAACCACCAAAAUUAUCAGAAUAAAUACUAAUAAUUAAUUCCAAGGUAAUCUAAUCUAAUCUUAAAUAAGGGUACACUACUUACUGCUAGUUAUCAUAAAGGGGUCAUAAAAUACUAAUAAUUAUAUUAUUGCUGUUUUGGAAUUUUAACUUACACUCUAAUAUGCCUAGACAAGGGUAAGGAGUACAGAUGCUAAUUACCUUGCCGAUACUGUGCAACCAGAUUUUUCAAUCUUUACGGUAAAAUGAAAUUUUCAUGGAUCAUUCUAACAUCACUUCUUUGGGUGCAAUUGUUCUUACAUCACGUCCUUAGAUUUUUUUUUUUUUUUUUUUUUUACCAAGCAAGUUAAGACUUUUGUGGUAAUAAAUUAACCGAAACCACAAUUGUUCUUUACAUCACGUCCUUAGAUAAGAAUGAAAUUUUUGGUGGAUUAUGGCCACGCGUAGAAAAAAAAAAUCUCAGAAACUAGACUAAGCCUAUAUUAAUUCAUAUUAUAUUUGUGCAUGGAAAUGUGUACAAGGAACAGAAAAGGACGGAUCGCAGAUGGUCUGUUAACAAAAUUUCACGCAAACAUCGAUCAAACCUUGUAUAAAAGGAUGCAAGUGACCUGGCCAAUUAACCACUGGGCUUAGCUCCCUGGCUAUCAGGAGGGACUUAAAUCCUUUCUUGGGUUGUAGGUGAGGAUUCAAAUCUCAUCUGUAAAAGAAAAAAGUUUUAAAGAUUGUAUCAUAACAUUUUCUUGAUCUAGUUGAAUUUGUAUAUCUAUUGGCCCUUGACAUAAGCUUUCUUAGGCUUUCCCUCUCCCCUAAAUUAGAAUAAAAUAGGUUAUAUCGUUGUCUUCUUAGGCUUCCCCUUUCCCCUAGAUUAGAAUAAAAUAUAGGUUAUGUUGUUGAGAAAAAAAAAAAAAAAAAGGCCGACCUAUGCAGAGGCUAGUACAUGCAAAGCCCAAAAUGCAGACCUGACAGUAUUAGUUCAUUCAGAUCCAAAAGUGGUAAAACUUCAGCAGGGAAAUGUGAAAGAAGGGAUGUCCUUCUUGGCCUCGGAGGGCUAUAUGGUGCAACCACACUUGGCACCAAACAAUCAAGCCUUGCGCUGCCGGUUUCACCCGAUAUUUCCAACUGUACCGAUGCCAGGGAGACUCCAAAUGGCAUACCGAUCAACUGUUGCCCUCCCUCCGCUGCGGGUAGCAGUGAUUAUACACCUUCUGCUCGCGAAGUCUACACAAGAAUGCCGGCUCACACGGUCAGCCAUGACUGCGUCAAAAAAUAUUCAUCUGCCAUUGCAAAAUGAAGAACCUUUCUCUGAGCGAUCCUCGUAAUUUUACCAACUAGCAAACGUCCAUUGCGUUACUGUGACGAAGGGUACUCUCAAUUGGGCUUUCCAGACAAAAAAUUGGACGUUCAUAACUCAUGGCUAUUUUUUCCGGGGCACAGAUGGUACCUUUAUUUCUUCGAAAGAAUUUGUAAAAACUUGCUUGAUGAUGAUACGUUUACUCUGCCAUUUUGGCAAUGGGACGAUUCUUCAGGCAUGCAAAUUCCACCCAUGUUUAACGAGAGCAAAUUGUCCCUAUACAAUUGCUUCCACAACCCAAAACACUUGCCUCCUAAAGUGGUGGAUUUAGCUUACAAAGGCACCGAGAGUCAAAUCCGGUACAAUUGUUGCACAAUGUACAAUAAUGCAUGUACACGAUUGGGUUGGCGGCCCUUCCCAGCCUAACAACAAGGACAUGGGAGUCCUAUAUUCAGCCGGCUGAGACCCCAUGCUCGCCAUGCCAACGUUGAUAGAAUGUGGUACAUUUAUAACAAAGUUUUGAAACGCAAAAAUAUUGAAACGCAAGAUUGGUUAAAUUCCUCUUUUAUUUUCUUCAAUGAAGCGGCGAGACCCGUUAGAGUGACGGUUAAGGACUCCACAAAUCUCGCCACGCUUGGUUAUACCUAUCCUGACUUGCAACCUUCUUGGUUAACAUGUAAACCAACAGCGCGUAGAAAUGGCCUGAACCUGACAAAAUUGUCUUUCAAUGCCCCUAAGGCUAGUGAAGUGCUGCCAAUGAAAUUAGAGAAACCCAUCAGCUUCGUGGUUGAGCGGCCUAAGAAGGCAAGGAGUGGACAAGAGAAAGCAGAGGCAGAAGAGGUGCUAAAGAUUAAGGGGAUCGAAUUUGAUAAAGGAGAAACUGUGGUGUUCGAUGUGUUUGUGAACGAAGACAAUACGAGUCCGUGUAAUCCGUGCAAGGCUGAGUCUCUAGGAAGCUCCCGCACCUUGGCGCAUGGACAUGGCAAGAAAUCUACCACUUCCCGCAGUUGUGCGAUUUCAGAGGCGUUGGAGGAAUUGGGAGCUGAUGAUUUUGACAGCAUUUUGGUCACUUUGGUCCCCAGAAGAGGUGUCGUGACCAUAGGUGGUGUCGAGAUUCCCUUUGUUCCUAAAUCUUAAAUGCAUUAAUAGCAUUGCAAAUACUACGUGCACAAUGUUGUGUGUUUGUGUAAUAUUGUAAUCAAUCGUAAGUACUACAAACUUUGAGAAGAUAUUUUACUAAAUAAUUUCGACAACCAUAACUGGAGUCCUCGUAAACUUACCUUUACAAAUGACUUUCAAUCGGGCUUCUAAAUUCAUCAUUCCUAACUCUCUCUCUCUCUCUUCCGCAUUUUGUGGGAAUGGCAACAGUAGUAUCACAUUAAAGACAGAAAGGGCCGACUUUGAAAACGAGGGCCUUUCUUUCUUUUCCUGGUUCGGGGCCGACUCACUUCGUUCGCGCCGACGAAAAAGAUUUCAGACAUUACCUGCCACCAAGGAAAUAGUAAUAGACUGCCAUCAAAUCUUCUUUUUUUUUUUUUUUGGUUGCCUACCACGGUAUUCGGGGCUUUGCCCUGAUUAAUCCGUUGGUCGAUUCGGUUCAUAUACCUGACUGUGAUGGGCGAAUCUCCCAACAAGGAUGACUGCAUACACAAGGUUUCGAAACCGAAACCUGUUUAAGCAGAACAAAACUGUUUAUCACUUGGCGCAACCCCGAUUGGUUGCCAUCAAAUCUUCUUCUAUUGUUCUUUAGUGCGACUGCAAUAGAAUGAUACCGUAUGGGUUGCGGUCUCAGUAGUCGCUGACAUUGAUAAGAAAAACAAUUGAACUCAAGAAGCAAGCAUGAUAUCAUAAAAUGUGAAUGCAAAAGGCAACAUUAAUUCGCCAUUUUUGUGUUCCACUUUUGCAACUCGAAUGUGAAUGCAAAGCUACGUAUUCCAGUCCAGAUUUACCAUGAACACACAUCAUUGGAAAUGAAAAUUUCAGUUUAUAAGAAAAAGAUAUUUGGUAGGCCAAAAACUUGUUCAAUAAUUGAAACAAACAAGGGGAGCUUAGGAAAUUUCCGGGCCAGAUAUGGGUACAGCACUUUCUUCUCGUCCCUUUGCAUAACAAUUCAAGCUUAGCAAUGAAUUUCUAGUCCCUAUCUUGAUCAAGGAGUCUGUUUGUAAGGUGUGUUUUUUCUGGUGUUUGUAUAAACUUUUACAGUAAUUUAUUGUGAAAGUUGAACAAAUUUUUUUGUAUAAAUAAGAUUUGAAAAAACUGAAAAAUUUUCAUGAUUUUUGCCUUUUGUUCUCCAUUCUUUUUUUCCCCCUUUCCUUCCUCUUUCUUCUUCCUCUCCACUCCUAUUUUGAUCUUCCUCCUCCCUCUCCAUUAUCGCCACCGCUGGUCGCCACCUCUCUCUCUCUCUCUCCCCCCCUCUUCAUCCUUGCCCCAUCCAUAUUGAUUAUAAAGUAUAAAUUCGUUAUUUCAUUUUAAAAUGUGGUGUGGCAGUCAAAUUACUACAAUGGGACCAUCAGCGGCCAUAACUAUCUCUCGUUAAAAUGUAAUUCAAAUAUUAAUAUUUUAAAAUAUAAAAUUAAAUAAGAGAAAUUUAUAAAUGCCAUUAAAUCAAAAAAAUAUCACUAAAGUAUGCAUAAAUUGCCAUUUUUUAAUGUCAUUAGAAAAGAAUUUUCUUCUAGUGUACAAUUAGUAGUGAAAUAAAGAAUCUUAGGGAAAUUAUUUGAAUUGUUUUCAUUUUCUUCACAGAGUUACUGUCCCAAAAUUACUAAAAAUUUUGGAUUGUGAUCUUUUGGACAUAUAUUUUUACAUUUUUUUCCACACAAUUUCCAAUCUCUUUUUUUUUUUUAAUCUUACAUACGUCACAUCCUUUAAAAAAAAUACUAUAAUAAUUUUUUUUCCAAAAAUUCUCCAAAAAAUGCAAUCUAAAUGGGGUCUAAUUAUUUCAAUGAAUCAUACAAUUUCAGGGUACAUCCAGACAAUAUCAAAUUGUGGGAUGAAUUUUACAAUCAUUAUUGAAAUGACACUAAUGGUCACUUUACUUGUGGUCCUUGAAUCUUAACCCAAUUAUGCAAAAUCUUGUGGUCCUUGAAUCUUAACCCAGUUAUUCAAAAUCACGUGUUUAACGCUGUUCUUCUAUUUAGCAAGAAGAAAAAUAAAAACGUCAGUGACACGGGGUCGCCAAUUGCUUCAGUAUAAGAACAGGAGCUUCCCUUAGCUUCUUCGCUACAACAUCCCCCUAAAGAAAACUAGCCAAUGGCAUCUCUUUCAACUCCCCUUCAAAGCUCCACUGCCUACUCCUCCACCUCCACUCUGUCCUCCUGCCCUUUCUCAACCAAGCCAUCACAGUUUUACCUCAGUGCCAAACGUAACUAUCGUCAGUUCACGGUUUCAUGCAAAAACAAUGAAAGCCAUGAACAAGUUGACAAUCUUGAUAGGAGGGAUGUGCUUUUGGGCUUGGGUGGCCUUUAUGGCGCCUCAAACCUCAUCAUCAACCCUUUUGCCAUGGCAGCUCCUAUAGCCGCCCCAGAAAUCUCCAAAUGCGGUCCACCGGCGGACUUACCUCCAGGAGCAGUUGUCACUGACAAUUGCUGUCCGCCGGUGCCCGGCAAAGUCAUUGACUACAAACUCCCUCCACCACCUAAGGUGAACCGUUUUAGGCCAGCUGCUCAUUUGGUCAAGAAAGACUAUAUUGAAAAACUUAACAAGGCGGUCGAGCUCAUGAAAGCUCUGCCAGCUGAUGAUCCCCGUAAUUUUACCCAACAAGCAAAUGUUCAUUGCGCUUAUUGCAAUGGUGCCUACGUCCAACCAGGCUCUGAUCAAGAAAUUUCAGUCCAUUACUCGUGGUUAUUCUUCCCUUUUCAUAGAUGGUAUUUGUACUUCUAUGAAAGAAUCUUGGGAAAGCUAAUAGGCGAUCCCAGUUUUGGACUGCCCUUUUGGAACUGGGACAACAUUGGUGGCAUGACCAUACCGUCCAUAUUUAUGGACCAAUCGUCAGCAUUGUAUAACGAAAAUCGUAACCAAAGUCAUCUGCCACCAACGGUCGUGGACUUGGGGUAUAAUGGUACGGAUAGAGAUGCAACAUGCACAGAAAGGAUAGAAAACAAUUUGGCGAUCAUGUACCGUCAAAUGGUCUCUAAUGCCACCACUGGCAGAGAUUUCUUUGGAAAGGAAUACCGGGCCGGCGAUGAGCCCAAUGCCUUUGCUGGCGCAGGGUCCAUCGAGGCCAGUCCCCAUAUUCCACUCCACAGGUGGGUCGGCGAUCCAAGGCAGCCAAAUGGUGAAGAUUUGGGUAAUUUCUACUCAGCUGGAAGAGAUGUUCUGUUCUAUAGCCAUCAUGCAAAUGUGGACCGGAUGUGGACAAUUUGGCAACAAUUGGGAGGUAAAAGGAAGGAGGUCCCCGAUCCAGAUUGGCUGAAUUCUUCCUUCAUUUUCUACGAUGAAAAUGCUCAGCCUGUCCGCGUGAAAGUUCGUGAUUCUUUUAGUAAUGAUAGAAUGGGAUAUAUUUACGAAAAGGUGGAUAUUCCCUGGCUUAAGAAUAAGCCUGUGCCCCGCGUGAGAAAAUCUAGAGUGGCUUUCACUUCCGGGGCACCACCAGCCGAUAAGGUCUUCCCUGGACCCCUUAACAAGAUCGUGAAAGUGUUGGUCAAGAGGCCCAAAUUAUCAAGAAGCAAGAGGCAAAAGGAGGAAGAGGAAGAGAGAUUGGUGGUGUACGGGAUCGAGUUUUCCAUGGACAAGUAUGUUAAGUUUGAUGUUUUCAUUAAUGAUGAAGAUGAUAAUCCAAACGAUUUUGCUAAGUCCGAGUACGUUGGGAGCUUUGCAAAUUUGCCACACAAGGUUAAAAGUGGCAUGAAAGCUAAGACUACUCAAACCUUUGAGUUGACUGAGAUUUUGGAGGACUUGGAUGUCGAAGACGACGAUGCCCUGUUGGUGACUUUGGUGCCAAAUACCGCUCUUACCAUUGAUGGCAUCAAGAUUGAGGUUGCUACUUGAUUC
RNAcentral lists this long non-coding RNA (12481 nucleotides) under Coffea arabica (coffee). Its description in RNAcentral is "long non-coding RNA (CARA_LNC003894)". The record is from RNAcentral. Lineage: Eukaryota; Viridiplantae; Streptophyta; Magnoliopsida; Gentianales; Rubiaceae.